Molecule: long non-coding RNA, 1598 nt
Organism: Coturnix japonica (Japanese quail)
Lineage: Eukaryota; Metazoa; Chordata; Aves; Galliformes; Phasianidae
Source: RefSeq, a predicted model, not a curated record
GGGGGGGCGGCGGCGGAGGAGGGGUGGAAGAAGCAGGGGGGAAGGGGAGGAGUUUCUGCAGCUCCAGCCUUUAAUCCAGCAGCGAGGUGUCAGGGGGACCUUCUUUGGAUAGGGAGAUGCCCUCAGCAGCGCUGCUCGCUUUGCUUCUCGCCCUUUCAGAAGUAUCCGGAGGGUCCUGAGGGGGAGGAGGGGGGUCGGAGGGGUUCGUACCGCGGGCUGCGUGGCCGCUCUGCGGAGCUCCACGCUGGGCUGAAGCAAGAGAGAGCCCCGUGGGUUGGGAGGAGGUGCACAGGCGCUGCCGAAAGCUUCGGGCGGCUCUACAGGAAGUGAAGAGAGAGCGAAAAGCCCAACUUUGCUCCGGCAGCCCCUCCGAGUGUGCGGGGAGCGGGGCUGUGCCCGGGGAGCCGGGCCAGGAGGGCCCCGCUCCGCUCCCGGACGGCAUUUUAUCAACUCCUGCCCGCCCCAGAAGUCCUCCAAUGUGAAAGUCAGCCGAGGGACAGGAGCAGAUCGCACCCUUCAGGCAAAGGAUUUCCGUGUUACAGAGUAUCGAGAAACGAAACGUGUUCCGAAGGCGAUUCACCGCGGCGAUGCUCCGCACCCAGGGCUGAGCUCCGCGCAGCAAAUCCAAGCUCGGGGUCCCUGCCUUACAGCAGCCCUCGGCUUCCAUCUGCUUAGGGCCGGGUAUUCUAGAUCAAGCUACAAGUUUUAGUUAUAGAAGCGGCUCUUCUCCCCCUUAGGAACUUCUUUCCUACACUACAGGUGUGCACAGUCGGCAAUCAAUCACACCCAGCCUGCCCCGCAGCUGCCCCCACAUCUUUGCUCUCAUCAUUUAAAUGCAGAUUUUUGCUGGAUUCAAAGCUGUGCAUCCGCAUGUUCACAGAGUGUACACUGUAAUCACAGCAAACAAACCUCAUGAGACCCUAUAAAACCAUGAUUUAUAGGUAGUGGGGAUGAGGGAACAGUGUUUUCCAUAGCAUUCUCCUUAUCUACUGAGGAAAAACUGAAAAGUGAUGGCUAUCUUGGAGAAACAAUAAAGCUCAGAUUUAUUUUCCUUCUUUUGGAAGUCUCAGGAAUUAGCAGAUGCAAAGCUAAUUUGGGUGUAUGAUCUGCAAUCAUCGUUCUAAAAUCAUACAGAUAAAGAUAUGAAGCCUCUUCUUUAAUGCUUAGAGAAGCAGUGAGUGCCCCAUCCCUGGAGGACUCAGGGCUGGAUGGGGCCCUGGGCAGCCUGGGCUGAUGGGGGGCAGCUCUGCCCAUAGAAGGGGGUUGGGACUGGAUGGGCAUUAAGGUUUCUUCCAACCCAAACUGUUCUAUGAUUCUGUGACAUGCAACUGUCCCAUACAUCCCUACAGGAUGCCAUGGAAGGAAGCAGACCCAGAAAUGGAACUGCUCGGUAACAAUGUCACCAGAUCACAAUGUCCCAAGUUUGCGAAAUAACCAUAAAACUUUGCUUUAAACCUUGCUUGUAUCAGCUGUAGUUGGUGCAUGGGGAAAAGGAUCUGAGUUGCUGGUGUUUUUAAAACCCACAUUCAAACUUGCUGUUAGCUAUAUUACCAAGCAGCCAUAUGCUUCAUACAGAAUAAAGCUAUCUGUGAAAAUAA